Molecule: ribosomal RNA, 493 nt
Filed under: uncultured bacterium
Lineage: Bacteria
Description: partial 16S ribosomal RNA
Rfam family: Bacterial small subunit ribosomal RNA
Source: RNAcentral
AUUGAACGCUGGCGGCAUGCCUUACACAUGCAAGUCGAACGGUAACAGGUUAAGCUGACGAGUGGCGAACGGGUGAGUAAUGUAUCGGAACGUGCCCAGUUGUGGGGGAUAACUGCUCGAAAGAGCAGCUAAUACCGCAUACGACCUGAGGGUGAAAGCGGGGGAUCGCAAGACCUCGCGCAAUUGGAGCGGCCGAUAUCAGAUUAGGUAGUUGGUGGGGUAAAGGCUCACCAAGCCGACGAUCUGUAGCUGGUCUGAGAGGACGACCAGCCACACUGGGACUGAGACACAACCCAGACUCCUACGGGAGGCAGCAGUGGGGAAUUUUGGACAAUGGGCGCAAGCCUGAUCCAGCCAUGCCGCGUGCGGGAAGAAGGCCUUCGGGUUGUAAACCGCUUUUGUCAGGGAAGAAACGCUCUGGGUUAAUACCCUGGGGUAAUGACGGUACCUGAAGAAUAAGCACCGGCUAACUACGUGCCAGCCGCCGCAGUAA